AGUGAUGACGGGGACAAGCCAUUCCUCUCAGGCAGCCCUUGUCCCCUCCUGGCUCCAGAAGGGCAGAAUAGGCCCAGAAGCUGCAGGCAUGGACAGAAACGAGGUCUCCCGGGCUCCGGGUGCAGAAGGCUCAGUGGAAACUUUCUGAGUGGUUGUCUUCAAAAGGCCCACCUAGCACAGGACUCCAGCAAAUGCUUCGUUGAGCCCGGAGCAGCUGUCCAGACCUGGUGUCCAGAGUGAUCCAGCAGCUCCACCCAGCAAGCUCCAGAGAUCAGCCACAGAUUGGUGCCCCCCACCCCCACCCCAGGCAGCAAGUGGCUGCAUCAUGGCCUCACUAGGGCACAGAUCAAGGUGAAGCAGGACAAGGAAGAGAUCUUCCCCAGUGGAAGAGGAUGGAGAAGAUCCUCACGGUGUAGCGGCUUCCCCAGAGGUUAGAGGACACCGCCUUAUGCCCCAGUGGGCUUUGAAGCCACAAGUGUCCUCUUUGCUAAGGUCCUGAGUUCAAAUCCCAGCAACCACACGGUGGCUCAUAACCAUCUGUAACAAGAUCUGAUGCCCUCUUCCAGAGUGUCUUAGGACAGCUACAGUGUACCCACAUUAAAUAAAUAAAAUCUUU
This 616-nucleotide long non-coding RNA is filed under the name Mus caroli (Ryukyu mouse). RNAcentral's name for it is "lncRNA (MGP_CAROLIEiJ_G0006733.1)". The record is from RNAcentral. Lineage: Eukaryota; Metazoa; Chordata; Mammalia; Rodentia; Muridae.